This 494-nucleotide ribosomal RNA is filed under the name uncultured bacterium. Its description in RNAcentral is "partial 16S ribosomal RNA". It matches the Rfam family "Bacterial small subunit ribosomal RNA", at positions 28 to 507 of the family's 1533-position model. The record is from RNAcentral.
GACGAACGCUGGCGGCGUGCUUAACACAUGCAAGUCGAACGGAAAGGCCUGCUUUCCCUUGUGGAUUGCGGGUACUCGAGUGGCGAACGGGUGAGUAACACGUGAGUGAUCUGCCCCCAACUUGGGUAUAAGCCUGGGAAACUGGGUCUAAUUCCCGAUAGGACUGCAGGGUGGUGCCUGUGGUGGAAAACGAUUUUCUAGUGGUUGGGGAUGAGCUCGCGGCCUAUCAGCUUGUUGGUGGGGUAAUGGCCUACCAAGGCGGCGACGGGUAGCCGGCCUGAGAGGGUGGACGGCCACAUUGGGACUGAGAUACGGCCCAGACUCCUACGGGAGGCAGCAGUGGGGAAUAUUGCACGAUGGGCGGAAGCCUGAUGCAGCGACGACGCGUGGGGGAUGACGGCCUUCGGGUGGUAAACUCCUUUCGACCGCGAGGAAGCCACCUGGUUGGAAGGGUGGUGACGGUAGUGGUAGAAGAAGCACCGGCUAACUACGUG